RNAcentral lists this ribosomal RNA (468 nucleotides) under uncultured bacterium. RNAcentral describes it as "partial 16S ribosomal RNA". It matches the Rfam family "Bacterial small subunit ribosomal RNA", at positions 28 to 507 of the family's 1533-position model. The record is from RNAcentral.
GACGAACGCUGGCGGCGUGCUUAACACAUGCAAGUCGAACGGAAAGGCCCUGCUUUUGUGGGGUGCUCGAGUGGCGAACGGGUGAGUAACACGUGAGUAACCUGCCCUUGACUUUGGGAUAACUUCAGGAAACUGGGGCUAAUACCGGAUAGGAGCUCCUGCUGCAUGGUGGGGGUUGGAAAGUUUCGGCGGUUGGGGAUGGACUCGCGGCUUAUCAGCUUGUUGGUGGGGUAGUGGCGUACCAAGGCUUUGACGGGUAGCCGGCCUGAGAGGGUGACCGGGCACAUUGGGACUGAGAUACGGCGCAGACUCCUACGGGAGGCAGCAGUGGGGAAUAUUGCACAAUGGGCGGAAGCCUGAUGCAGCAACGCCGCGUGCGGGAUGACGGCCUUCGGGUUGUAAACCGCUUUCGCCUGUGACGAAGCGUGAGUGACGGUAAUGGGUAAAGAAGCACCGGCUAACUACGUG